This 253-nucleotide ribosomal RNA is filed under the name uncultured bacterium. RNAcentral's name for it is "partial 16S ribosomal RNA". It matches the Rfam family "Bacterial small subunit ribosomal RNA", at positions 524 to 776 of the family's 1533-position model. The record is from RNAcentral.
UACGUAGGGUGCGAGCGUUGUCCGGAAUUAUUGGGCGUGAAGGGCUCGUAGGCGGUCUGUUACGUCGGGAGUGAAAACUCGGGGCUCAACCCCGAGCCUGCUUCCGAUACGGGCAGACUAGAGGUAUGCAGGGGAGAAUGGAAUUCCUGGUGUAGCGGUGAAAUGCGCAGAUAUCAGGAGGAACACCGGUGGCGAAGGCGGUUCUCUGGGCUGACACUGACGCUCAUGCACGAAAGCGUGGGGAGCAAUCAGG